GGCUGUUCGCCAUUUAAAGUGGUACGUGAGCUGGGUUCAAAACGUCGUGAGACAGUUUGGUCCCUAUCUGCCGUGAUUGUAGGAGAAUUGAGAGGAUUUGUCCUUAGUACGAGAGGACCGGGAUGAACACACCUCCGGUGGACCUGUUAUCGCGCCAGCGGUAGUGCAGGGUAGCUAUGUGUGGACGGGAUAACCGCUGAAGGCAUCUAAGCGGGAAACCCACCUCAAAACAAGUUCUCCCUUGAGAACCGAGGAAGACGACCUCGUUGAUAGGCCAGAUGUGGAAGGGCAGUGAUGUCCGUAGCUUACUGGUACUAAUCGUUCGAACGGCUUGAUUGCUCUCAUUAU
RNAcentral lists this ribosomal RNA (348 nucleotides) under Hyphomicrobiales bacterium. RNAcentral's name for it is "Rhizobiales bacterium partial 23S ribosomal RNA". It matches the Rfam family "Bacterial large subunit ribosomal RNA", at positions 2575 to 2925 of the family's 2925-position model. Lineage: Bacteria; Pseudomonadati; Pseudomonadota; Alphaproteobacteria; Hyphomicrobiales. The record is from RNAcentral.